This is a non-coding RNA of Paramuricea clavata, 256 nucleotides long. The record is from the annotation of a GenBank genome assembly. Lineage: Eukaryota; Metazoa; Cnidaria; Anthozoa; Malacalcyonacea; Plexauridae.
GCAACCGUCUGUUUCAUCUGUAAAGACAAAAGAAUCAUCAGGUAAGCGAAUUUUGAGGUAAUAUAUGACUUUUAUCUUCGAGUGGUGGAAACAAUAUUUUACCAGUAAAAUUAUAUUGUUUUUAACACGAGAAGAUAAAAGUCAUGGGCCGAUUGUACGAUAGACUGGCGAUACUCAUGUAUGACAAUGAAAGGGAGACUUGGAGCAAGUCUAGUAGUGUGCGAAGGCCGGAUAGCGCUGUCCACCAGAUAGUGAG